RNAcentral lists this ribosomal RNA (641 nucleotides) under Barriopsis archontophoenicis. RNAcentral's name for it is "SSU rRNA". It matches the Rfam family "Eukaryotic small subunit ribosomal RNA", at positions 454 to 1097 of the family's 1831-position model. Lineage: Eukaryota; Fungi; Ascomycota; Dothideomycetes; Botryosphaeriales; Botryosphaeriaceae. The record is from RNAcentral.
ACACGGGGAGGUAGUGACAAUAAAUACUGAUACAGGGCUCUUUUGGGUCUUGUAAUUGGAAUGAGUACAAUUUAAAUACCUUAACGAGGAACAAUUGGAGGGCAAGUCUGGUGCCAGCAGCCGCGGUAAUUCCAGCUCCAAUAGCGUAUAUUAAAGUUGUUGCAGUUAAAAAGCUCGUAGUUGAACCUUGGGCCUGGCUGGCCGGUCUGCCUCACCGCAUGUACUGGUUCGGCCGGGCCUUUCCUCCUGGGGAUCCGCAUGCCCUUCACUGGGUGUGUUGGGGAACCAGGACUUUUACUUUGAAAAAAUUAGAGUGUUCAAAGCAGGCCUUUGCUCGAAUACAUUAGCAUGGAAUAAUAGAAUAGGACGUUUGUGGUCUUAUUUUGUUGGUUUCUAAGACCGCCGUAAUGAUUAAUAGGGAUAGUCGGGGGCAUCAGUAUUCAGUUGUCAGAGGUGAAAUUCUUGGAUUUACUGAAGACUAACUACUGCGAAAGCAUUUGCCAAGGAUGUUUUCAUUAAUCAGUGAACGAAAGUUAGGGGAUCGAAGACGAUCAGAUACCGUCGUAGUCUUAACCGUAAACUAUGCCGACUAGGGAUCGGGCGAUGUUAUUCUUUUGACUCGCUCGGCACCUUACGAGAAA